AGCGAACGCUGGCGGCAGGCUUAACACAUGCAAGUCGAACGCAUCACUUCGGUGGUGGGUGGCAGACGGGUGAGUAACACGUGGGAACGUACCCUUCGAUCUGGGAUAACUUCGGGAAACUGGAGCUAAUACCGGAUACGCCCUUUUGGGGAAAGGUUUACUGUCGAAGGAUCGGCCCGCGUCUGAUUAGCUAGUUGGUGGGGUAACGGCCUACCAAGGCGACGAUCAGUAGCUGGUCUGAGAGGAUGAUCAGCCACACUGGGACUGAGACACGGCCCAGACUCCUACGGGAGGCAGCAGUGGGGAAUAUUGGACAAUGGGCGCAAGCCUGAUCCAGCCAUGCCGCGUGAGUGAUGAAGGCCUUAGGGUUGUAAAGCCCUUUUGUCCGGGACGAUAAUGACGGUACCGGAAGAAUAAGCCCCGGCUAACUUCGUG
Molecule: ribosomal RNA, 435 nt
Filed under: uncultured bacterium
Lineage: Bacteria
Description: partial 16S ribosomal RNA
Rfam family: Bacterial small subunit ribosomal RNA
Source: RNAcentral